CAGAUGGAAGACAAUUGAAGAGUGGAGGGGGAAAGGAGGGCUGCCGAGAGGCUGAUAGUAAUUUCAAGUGACUGUGCGAUGCUGAUGGCAACUUUCGGCUAAUGCGUUGACAGUGCCCACCUCAACUGUGAGAGAGAUUUCUCUGCAAUGAACAGAGUGAAGACAGACUUGAGAAACAUCGGGACCAUCUUGCAGCACACCUCACGUUGACUAUAAAUGGACCACCUAUUGCUGAUUUCCCUUAGAAUUUUUUUUUUUUUUUUAGUCCAGGAAAAUGAAGUGUUAGCAGGCAGGAUGCAAACUUUACAAAUCUUUGUUAUUGUUCUUAGAACAAAAAA
Long non-coding RNA from Corythoichthys intestinalis (scribbled pipefish), 338 nucleotides. RefSeq lists it as uncharacterized. NCBI's taxonomy places the organism in Eukaryota, Metazoa, Chordata, Actinopteri, Syngnathiformes, Syngnathidae. The transcript has 3 exons. The record is from RefSeq and is a predicted model, not a curated record.